CUUUUCUAUUAAUAUUGCUAUAUAUAGCGUGCCCAAGUGUAUCUUUGGUUAUCAAAACAACACAAGCCCUCAACUAAUCAGCUAUUAGGGAUGAAGCCUGCAACGAUGGCACUGCUCAUUUUGAUGAACAUGAUGUGCACUAUUGGAUUUUUUGAUCAUGCAAGUUUUCUUGGAACUAAGGCCCAAGAAACCACCUUGCUGGCAAAUUCAUACGGAAGCAAUGAAGAAACUGGUUCUACGAAGGGCAUAAAUCUUGGAAGGAAGCUGGUGGUGACGGACCGCAGCUGGUCUCCUAGAGAUGUCUGCUGCAACAAAAUGUCCUCCAAUUCUUGCAAACUGCAAUAUAAUUGUUAGAGAUAUAUGCUUGCAUUCCUAUGCAUAUGGAGGACGGAUAUCCUACAUAUAGACACGGUAUAUGUUGCAUCAGCAGGUUCUCAAGUCCCUUGUAUCAUCUGAGUUUAGACCUAUCUAAAUAAUAAUCUUUGGGGCCGUGAAAUACCGUGUAGUGUUGUACUGAGCGUACACUCUAUUAAACAAUAAAUUAAAAUAUGCCCAGUGUGUGAGCA
This is a long non-coding RNA of Sorghum bicolor (sorghum), 566 nucleotides long. RefSeq lists it as uncharacterized. NCBI's taxonomy places the organism in Eukaryota, Viridiplantae, Streptophyta, Magnoliopsida, Poales, Poaceae. The record is from RefSeq and is a predicted model, not a curated record. The transcript has 2 exons.